AACUUUUAGUCUAGCACUUAGAUGCAAGUACUGAACAAGAACUAAAUAUAAUCACUAAACAAGAAUUAAAUAAAAAACUAAACAAGAACUAAAGAAAAGUGCUAGAAUAACAACUAAUAAAAUAGGAUGCAGUGUUAUUCAAACCACUGAAUAUUACAUAGGACUAUUUCCCCCAAAUACGGUGUAGGAAACUUGUUAAGUUCAUCCUGGUGUAAAGAUAUCCCAAAGGUUGGUGGCUGGUAAAGGAAAUUAUCGGAGGAAGACAUUGGGAGCAAUACACACGCUGAGCAUUUCCUGGCACGUUGAUAAAAGCCUUAUGUGUUUUGUUCCUCCUCCAACGUCGAUGAGCUUUGUCCUCUGACUAAAGACACUGAUUGUUGUAUGAACAAAGCCAAUACGGUCAGUGGAGACACGCGUAGUUGAUAAAUACAGCCUGCUGCAGUCCUCGCUGUGUAAUGUAUUGGAUUAGGCUCGGAGUAAUGUUUAUAAGGCUUUAAAAGGAAACCAUUAAAAUAUAGUUGAACAUGUCCUGUUGCUAGAUGAGAAAUCAUCAAACUGUAAAAUGUGGAAAGAAUUCACGAAAGAAGACAAAUUAAUGUCAAGCUUCUACGAUUCAGCAAAUGCAAGCUUAUCUGUGAGAAACCCAUUAUGUAGGCCAUCUAGGCAGAGUGUACGAGACACCACACUUACGCCAAUGCUAUGAAGAAAUAAACUUCAGAAGCCUACCGAGAGGAUGAUAGUGGAAACUAUAUUUUUGUGGACUUAUAUGUAGCACAACAAUUCUUCUUAGAAUAGUAGCCUAUAUUAAGCUCUUAUCGUCACUAUCAAAUUUAAUGUGACAUAUAGCUGUGAUUUGUCCAUAUAUGGGUAUGAAAUGGCAUCAUCAUGUCUAUAUAUGGAUAUGAUAUGACAUCAUCAUGCGUAUUUAUUGAUAAUUCACACACAUUUGUCACAUAAAACAUAGUGUGGGUAGUUUUAAGUGUUAACUUUUUCAUAGUCCACUACAAUGCUUUGGCCUGCGUAGAUCAAUAAUUUGCUGACAUAAUAUGUAGCUCACAGGAAAAAGGACUUUUUCAACAAACUUUUUUUUUACUUGACCUUACACAUUAUAUUUUUUUGUUUUGUUUGUAGUUUUUCACUCCCAAGCGAAAAACAAGUGUUCCACUAUUGCACGUCAGUGGGCAGGGCUGCCAAAAGCAGAGCAGUGGUGAUGCCAGGGGGGGGGGGGCAUUUGUCAUCAGACCAAAAGUAAAAAUAAACAAUAAUUUGCCUAUCCAAAUAACGCUAUUUUGGUUGCAAAUCCCUAAUAUUAUGGUCUGAAAGCACAUUUAGGACCAAAGUAAGACAUAAAAACUCUCUAUAUGAAACCCAACAGGGAUUUUUUUUUUAUUCCAAGCCACUGACCGAGGCUUCGUCGUCGCCUUGGUUUGGACCCCUAAAUUGGACACGUUGGACCCCUUGUCUGCAAAUUUCUGGUGCCUCAGCUGGCCCAGGAAAUGAGAAUGUUAUAAUUGAUGUUGACAAUAAAGACCAACAUAAUUUUACCAUGGAGGAUCCAUGAUUUUACUGAGGCAUAAUUUGGAAAAAAUUUCAAUGAGAAUUUAUUGGCACAAAUGGUCUUUUACUUCAUACCUUGCAUCCUUAUUUGUGAAUGCAACCUAAAUAUAGCUUUUGUGGCUCUGUUUUCACUGGUUGUGUGAAAACUAGCUUGCGUACGUAUUGAGCAGAAAGCAUUGCAUAUUCUGACACAUUAAGUUUUUUAAUGACCUGAAAUUGUGAUUUUGCAGGGGUGGAUCCAGAGAUGUCCGAAAGAGGGGUCCAGAAGGGGGGCCAAAAGUGGGGCCGAUCAAGAUAAUAAUACUCUAGGCAGUCCGGGGAACUUUCUGUGUUGUAGACGCCCGUAAAUAAUCUCUGAGGCCUUUUGGGUGAUCAAUUUUUCUUUUUUAAUUUUCCUUUUUCUUUUUUAUUUUUUUGACUUUCCAAAAGGGGGAGGCCCCAGGCUGGGUGGGCCCCCCUUGGAUCCGCGCCUGUUUUGCAUGGUUAUUUUUCAUAAACUUGCAUAUUUUACAUUAAAUGGUAUUUUUUUUUUAGAUCAGAAUUUCAAUUAGAUAUUUCAUUACUUCAUCUCUAAAUUAAUUAUGACAAUUCAUAAAAAAUAAUACUUGAUCAGUGAAAGUGAUAGCUUUAUGCAUUUUAUGUCAUAAAUAUACUCUAAAGCCAUAAAUGAUUUUAUUUCAUACUCAGGCUUACUACUUGAAAUAUAUGGCACAAAAUGGAAAUAUCUACCUUAAUCAUAAUGAAUAAUACGAUACAUGGUUCAUUUGAUGUUGCUAAUAAGAUUGGAAGGAAAUAUUCACCUUUGAAUAUGGCAUGCAAACUUAGCCGGAUGCAUAAAUUCGCAACACAGUGUGUAAAAUAAAUGUACUGUAGAUUGAGGCAAUGCAGUGGUUUUCAUUAUUUUUAGCUUGAAAAUUCAACAUCAGUUUUGCCCUAUAGGACUAAAAAAAAAAAAAAAAAUCAGCAAAAUUACGCAUCCAGAACCCGAUUCAGUGGCAGAUCCAGGAAUUUGCAAUAGAGGGGCCCAGGGAGGGGACCUUCACACAUAUAGGGUCUAUGAACCCCAACCACACCAUGGUUAGGGCUGAGGUAUGAAAAAUUACUCACUCAAAGACUUAAAUUUGAAUAUAUAAUUUUAUUUAUUUAUUCAUUUAAAAAAAAAUAAUUUUGAGAAUUUUUUUUCUUUUUUUGGGGGGGGGGGGCGACUGGACCUCUUUGAAUCCGCCACUGCAUUUAAUAAACAGGUGCACAACUACCUUAAUUACAAAUAUAUAAACAAAUUUAACUGAACUACUUAUAAUCAGUUGCGGUUCUAGUGGAAGGGGCAGGGUAAGUAACCACUGGCUAAUACUGAUUAAACAUUUAUCUUCUAAAAAAUUAUUUGCCUAUGUUCUAAUAAUCAGAACUGCUGAAUAUGACCAAAAUUUUACCAGUUUCCUCUCCCCUUCCCUGAUUAGAUUUAUAUCCUUAAGCUACUGCUAGUAAUAAUCCAGUUAAUAACACAAUAAUUAUAAUAGGAUUAGGCCUUAACAAAAUGGCAAAGAUGUGAUAAUUUGAAUACUAAUGGUCCCUAGACUGAAAUCUGCUUUUUAGUAAGUGUCAGAGCAUUACCACAACACUGCUUUCAACCUGCUUUUAAUAAGUAUAGCUUUUUAUGUGUCUGUGGAUAUUAAUUAAAAGAGGUAGUCAAGUAGAAGUAAACUAUGUACUGGCAGGUACAGCACUGCCUAGUUUUUAAAAUUUUAAAUGGUGUCAUUAAUAACUAGGUUCCCUAAUUGCACUAAUGGCAUUAAUACCUGUACUUUGAACUUGGGCAGACAGAAUCAUACAAAAUAAAUGCAUAUUUUUGGUUUUAAAUUUAUUCAUAUUUGCUUGUUGUAUCCUGUGGCUAGUAAGUAUAGACUUAGAGUCUGAGUCAGUAAUAGGCCAUCUAUAUGCAUCUAACCCUAUCUAUGAAAGAGCAAUAAAACUAAAUUGAAAUAUGAUAUUUCAUUUUACCUUUACUUUCCCAAAUUCAAUUUCUUUAGUAAUACUAUUUAACAUUCAUGAUUGUCCUGUCUGUGUUGGUAUAUCUAGCUAGAAUGUCAUGGAAAGAAGCAGAUGGAGAGGGGUGCAAAAAAUGUGUCAGGGUCGCUGGGGUAAUGAGGUGGUUUUUUACUGCUUUAAUGUCAUACUAUCUGCUUAGUAAGUUUACAGAGGGGGAGGGAUGCAAAAAACCUUUUUCUGCAGCAUGCUACAAAUCAUCUCAGAUAAUUCUAUAUAUAGUCAUUUAAAAGAUCAAAACAUUAAUAAACUUUCAAUAAUAUACUUAAGCCUCCCCACCCCUCACCCCAUUGGACAGGUCAAGCCACCUUCCACUGGCCAAAGCUCGUCAGGCAGUUGGACUAAAAAAAUAAAAAAAAAAUAGGCCCACACCAAGCCAACAUGUCAGUCACAGUCAACAUGUCAGUCCAGCCAUCUGGAGGUCUCUAUUUAAAACAAAAAUAUCAUUAUGGAGGGGGGGGGGGAAUGGACACCCCAUCCCAGAUUCUCCCCCAGCUCGGACAUACAGCCCUCGGAUGGUGCUGGGCGCCAAAAUUAUCCUUAUCUCAAUCAGUUCCCCGUCGGAUAGCUUAGCCCCCACCCCCCAAAAAAAAGUACAUGCUACAGUCGUCACUGAUCGAGACAUAAGACAGGCACUCACUGCAUUGUACGACGAAACGAACUCCGCUCCCUGUGAGCGAUACACGACACGACGCCGUCUGUCCUUGGCAGUCUGAAAAGAUCGUCAUUAAAAAUGGAUUCGUUGUGCAUGCGUCGUGUCAUUGUGUUUUCCAUAGAAUCGCGUCGGCAUAAUCCUUUAUAAUCACUGAAAUAGGGUGGUACAGUAAAGCUCUUAUUUCUGUGUAUACCAGAUUUGGUUUUAUUGGCAUUGCAUAAUUUAUGUGAUAAUCUUAUCAAUCUUUAUACAAAAGUCAAGAGUAUUCCGGAGGAAACCAUCCAAGUUGAUCUGAGAUGGUUUGUUGCAAAAGAGGAUUUCCUCCAUCAUUUUAAUCAAAAACCUCAGUCAAGACCACACUUUUGUUUUAUAAGAACCAGUACAAGUUUGCCCAGGCUCAGUGUUCUUAUUUUGUUGCAAAUUCAGGCUCAAACUGUUCGUAUUUCGUUCUUAUUUUACGCACUUUUCAAAGAUACUGGUAGAACAUUUUUAUUAUUUUACCAUCUAUUAAUAGACAGUAUAACAUAGGAGUAUAUAAUGUUGAAACACAGUAACUUUUUUUAAACAUUAAUACGUUAUUGUAUGUGACUAACCUGAUAUGUUGGCUUUUCAGUUUUUUAAUAAAAACCUCAUUUGACAUUUUA
RNAcentral lists this long non-coding RNA (4899 nucleotides) under Anneissia japonica. RNAcentral describes it as "uncharacterized LOC117100747". The record is from RNAcentral. Lineage: Eukaryota; Metazoa; Echinodermata; Crinoidea; Comatulida; Comatulidae.